This is an RNA transcript of Myotis brandtii (Brandt's bat), 1613 nucleotides long. It is a transcript of the gene named transmembrane protein 169, with no coding region annotated. The record is from RefSeq and is a predicted model, not a curated record. The transcript is spliced from 4 exons. NCBI's taxonomy places the organism in Eukaryota, Metazoa, Chordata, Mammalia, Chiroptera, Vespertilionidae.
CUGCGGAAGGACCGCUCCCCGGCGGCGGCUUCCCGAGCGCCGCGUCCUCUGCCUGUCUCUGCCCCUGGCAGGUGUAGGAAUGAAAGGAAGAAGCAACCUUUACCAGAUUCGAGAUCUGAUCCAUUUCAGCGUAAACCCAUGAGUCCUUGAAGGGUGCAUGCUUGCUGCAAGAACGCGUCUGUAGCUCACCCCUGUUGAUGGCUCUGCUUUCCUAUCUUUCAAGUUGCACUCAUCAUUGGGCUAUCUUUGCAUAGCCCCAUCCAGGAAGAAUCUCUGAGAUGUGUGGACUGUAAAUUUGCCCAAGCACGUUGGACUCUUCACAAGGAAUAACCAGACGUGAGGACUAAAAUGGAAGAGUUGGCACCAGUGGAAAGUCAGGGCCAGCUUCCAAGCCCACACCAUGGCUCUCUGAGGAAGGCCGUGGCAGCUGCCCUGGCCCUGGAUGGGGAAUCCACAAUGGGUCGCAGGAAAAAGAAGAGGAAGGAGUCCCGCCCAGAAUCUAUUAUCAUCUACCGGUCAGAGAGUGAGAAAGUGGAUGAGGAGCCUGGGGAAUCAGAAGGUGGAGACCAGCCUAAAGAGGAGGAAGGAGCCGACUUCCUAGACUAUCCUGCCGAUGAUGGUAAUAUGGAGGAGAUCUCGCCCUUUUGGAACUUCUAGUGUAAUGAAAGAGAUUAAUUUAUACACAAAAUUUAGUAAUACAAGCAUACUGUGCUAAUCGCUUAAUACAUGUAAGAUAAAGAAACAAUAAUAGUUGGCUUUCAUAAUAAUCAGGAAAAUGCAAGUUAUAACAACAGUGAGUUAUAGUAUUCCCUCACAUUUAGGAUGGCAAAAAAAUGGAUAAAAUCUAAAAACAUCAAUGUGAGGAAGUGUACAUAUGCUCAUACACCUCAAGUGGAAGUGGAAUUGCUUUAAUCACUUUGUAGGGGAAAUUGUCAAUUUUUAUUAAAUUCAAAAUAUGCAUUCCUGUGUCCUGGAAAUUCUCAGUAUCUACCCCAUGCAAUUUAUGCCCAUGUGCAUAAGGAAGCAUGUGUAAGCAUAUUUGUUGCUGCUAAUGAAGUUGUGGAAUGUCUGUAUUGAGCAUCACUGUGUAGCAACAAAUGGGUGAGGUAGAUCUAUUUGUGUAGAUGGAUUCAUCUCUAAACAUAUACCCACGGUGAACAAGCAACAUCCCUGCUCUCAUGCAGUUGACCUUCUAAUGGAAGGAAGACAGACAGUGAGCAAGUCAGCAAAUAAAAGAUUAUUCAGGUAAUGGUUCAAGUUUCCAAGACAAUAAAUCACGGUGAUGGGAAUAUGAGUAACUGGGAGAGAGAGAUUGCAUGGAUGUGCAAGGGCUCUCUGAGGAUGUGAGGUUUGAGCUGAUCUGAAUGAUAUGAAGGAACCAGCAAUGAAAAGAUCUUGGGCAGAGCUUUUAGAGGAGGGAGAACAGCAAAGGCAAAGACCCCAAGGUGGGAACACCAUUGCUUGUUUCUGGAAUAGAGUAUUUUCUGUUAGUGAGUGUAGAGAACAAGGAAUGGUGAGAGGUCAGAAAGGUGCAGGGUCAGAUCACAUUGGGCCUUGCAGGUCAUAGUAAAGAGUUUAGGAUUUAUUGUAAGUUCCAGGGGAAGUCAAUAAAG